CCCUAUGGUGAGGAAUAACACGAGGAAACUUGUGCUAAUACCUCAUAAGUCUUUACGGAGAAAGCUUUAUGCGCCAUUGGAUGAGCCUGCACUUGAUUAGUUUGUUGGUAGGGUAAUGGCCUACCAAGACAAUGAUCAAUAGCUGAUUUGAGAGGAUGAUCAGCCACAUUGGGACUGAGACACGGCCCAAACUCCUACGGGAGGCAGCAGUAGGGAAUCUUGCACAAUGGGGGAAACCCUGAUGCAGCGAUGCCGCGUGAGUGAA
RNAcentral lists this ribosomal RNA (265 nucleotides) under uncultured Pseudomonadota bacterium. RNAcentral describes it as "uncultured proteobacterium partial 16S ribosomal RNA". It matches the Rfam family "Bacterial small subunit ribosomal RNA", at positions 129 to 409 of the family's 1533-position model. Lineage: Bacteria; Pseudomonadati; Pseudomonadota. The record is from RNAcentral.